This is a long non-coding RNA of Daphnia pulex (common water flea), 775 nucleotides long. RefSeq lists it as uncharacterized. The transcript is spliced from 2 exons. The record is from RefSeq and is a predicted model, not a curated record. Lineage: Eukaryota; Metazoa; Arthropoda; Branchiopoda; Diplostraca; Daphniidae.
UGACUGACUGACUGAUAAGGUACAAUGAACAGGGGGAAAAUAUAAUUUUAUGUGUGAUCUAAACAUAUAUGGGAAAGAAAGAACAAUCAAUGAAGUAUGAACAAACCAGAAAGAAAGGGAAAAAUCCGUAUAAAAAGGAGGUUAGCACAGAAACUUUCACCGACAGUUAGUUGGAUUUGUUUUUUGUUUUUUGCAAAAACCAAAACAAACUGUGAAAAUGACGGCCGCAACUGACGGCUGUAAACAGAAGCAUAUCCUAACAAGGCGCCUACUAUACUUUAAUUAAAUAUUUUAAUAAAUUUAACACCGAGCCAAGUAGCACAUUUAUCCAUUCACCAUUGAGAUUUUAUAUGUUUUCCAUUUAUGAAAAUAUUUGCAAAAGAACUAAAUCUUUUAAUAAAAAAAAGGAGAAAAGAAAUGUGAUGUGAAAAAUCACCACUUGGGUUCACGGAGCAAAUGAGUAUAGGAACCGGUUUCAGCCACUUCCACUAGAGACGCUUCGUGACCAUGGGACUCUAACCCAUGUAAGGUUCGAGAAAAACGGACUUCCCUCCUCACUUUUUCUUUCCUGCAGAACUUGCGCAACUUUUCGGGAACGGGAUAUGGGAUCUGCUCUGGACUGGAGAGAAGACACGUCUAGUCCGAAAGUUGAAGCAUGUUUGUGGAGAUGUUGCAGAACUGUAGAAUUGCCUUGCGGUUUUGGUGCCCAAGAUUUAGAGAUUCCGGAGUCACCCUGAUAAAAAACAUUGUGCAGUAGAAUGUAACGUAGGUACUA